UGGGGUCGGAUGGCUGUCUGACCAGCAGAAUCAUCGACUCAAUCAACCAACUAGUUUGGUCACAAAACAAGAGUCCUUUGUUUGGAUUUGAGUCUGGAGCCAUUCUGAAGUAACGAUAUCUGGAGUGGGUUUGAACACUACAAGAAAAUAGAGUUUUAGUGACCCCAAAAUCGAUUGCUAAAUAGCACAAAUCAGUUGCUAAUAUACUUUGCGAUUGAUUUUGCGAUCGAAACAUAUCGGUUG
RNAcentral lists this long non-coding RNA (243 nucleotides) under Elaeis guineensis (African oil palm). RNAcentral's name for it is "long non-coding RNA (EGUI_LNC013202)". Lineage: Eukaryota; Viridiplantae; Streptophyta; Magnoliopsida; Arecales; Arecaceae. The record is from RNAcentral.